Molecule: ribosomal RNA, 2851 nt
Filed under: Salmonella enterica
Lineage: Bacteria; Pseudomonadati; Pseudomonadota; Gammaproteobacteria; Enterobacterales; Enterobacteriaceae
Description: partial 23S ribosomal RNA
Rfam family: Bacterial large subunit ribosomal RNA
Source: RNAcentral
GAUAAGCGCCGGUAAGGUGAUAUGAACCGUUAUAACCGGCGAUACCCGAAUGGGGAAACCCAGUGUGACUCGUCACACUAUCAUUAACUGAAUCCAUAGGUUAAUGAGGCGAACCGGGGGAACUGAAACAUCUAAGUACCCCGAGGAAAAGAAAUCAACCGAGAUUCCCCCAGUAGCGGCGAGCGAACGGGGAGGAGCCCAGAGCCUGAAUCAGCAUGUGUGUUAGUGGAAGCGUCUGGAAAGGCGCGCGAUACAGGGUGACAGCCCCGUACACAAAAGCGCAUGUGCUGUGAGCUCGAUGAGUAGGGCGGGACACGUGGUAUCCUGUCUGAAUAUGGGGGGACCAUCCUCCAAGGCUAAAUACUCCUGACUGACCGAUAGUGAACCAGUACCGUGAGGGAAAGGCGAAAAGAACCCCGGCGAGGGGAGUGAAAAAGAACCUGAAACCGUGUACGUACAAGCAGUGGGAGCACAGGUUUACCUGUGUGACUGCGUACCUUUUGUAUAAUGGGUCAGCGACUUAUAUUCUGUAGCAAGGUUAACCGUAUAGGGGAGCCGUAGGGAAACCGAGUCUUAACCGGGCGUUAAGUUGCAGGGUAUAGACCCGAAACCCGGUGAUCUAGCCAUGGGCAGGUUGAAGGUUGGGUAACACUAACUGGAGGACCGAACCGACUAAUGUUGAAAAAUUAGCGGAUGACCUGUGGCUGGGGGUGAAAGGCCAAUCAAACCGGGAGAUAGCUGGUUCUCCCCGAAAGCUAUUUAGGUAGCGCCUCGUGAAUUCAUCUCCGGGGGUAGAGCACUGUUUCGGCUAGGGGGCCAUCCCGGCUUACCAACCCGAUGCAAACUGCGAAUACCGGAGAAUGUUAUCACGGGAGACACACGGCGGGUGCUAACGUCCGUCGUGAAGAGGGAAACAACCCAGACCGCCAGCUAAGGUCCCAAAGUCAUGGUUAAGUGGGAAACGAUGUGGGAAGGCCCAGACAGCCAGGAUGUUGGCUUAGAAGCAGCCAUCAUUUAAAGAAAGCGUAAUAGCUCACUGGUCGAGUCGGCCUGCGCGGAAGAUGUAACGGGGCUAAACCAUGCACCGAAGCUGCGGCAGCGACGCUGAUGCGUUGUUGGGUAGGGGAGCGUUCUGUAAGCCUGUGAAGGUGGCCUGUGAGGGUUGCUGGAGGUAUCAGAAGUGCGAAUGCUGACAUAAGUAACGAUAAAGCGGGUGAAAAGCCCGCUCGCCGGAAGACCAAGGGUUCCUGUCCAACGUUAAUCGGGGCAGGGUGAGUCGACCCCUAAGGCGAGGCCGAAAGGCGUAGUCGAUGGGAAACGGGUUAAUAUUCCCGUACUUGGUGUUACUGCGAAGGGGGGACGGAGAAGGCUAUGUUGGCCGGGCGACGGUUGUCCCGGUUUAAGCGUGUAGGUGUGUGUUCCAGGUAAAUCCGGUUCACUUUAACACUGAGGCGUGAUGACGAGGCACUACGGUGCUGAAGCAACAAAUGCCCUGCUUCCAGGAAAAGCCUCUAAGCAUCAGGUAACAUCAAAUCGUACCCCAAACCGACACAGGUGGUCAGGUAGAGAAUACCAAGGCGCUUGAGAGAACUCGGGUGAAGGAACUAGGCAAAAUGGUGCCGUAACUUCGGGAGAAGGCACGCUGACACGUAGGUGAAGUGAUUUACUCAUGGAGCUGAAGUCAGUCGAAGAUACCAGCUGGCUGCAACUGUUUAUUAAAAACACAGCACUGUGCAAACACGAAAGUGGACGUAUACGGUGUGACGCCUGCCCGGUGCCGGAAGGUUAAUUGAUGGGGUCAGCGCAAGCGAAGCUCCUGAUCGAAGCCCCGGUAAACGGCGGCCGUAACUAUAACGGUCCUAAGGUAGCGAAAUUCCUUGUCGGGUAAGUUCCGACCUGCACGAAUGGCGUAAUGAUGGCCAGGCUGUCUCCACCCGAGACUCAGUGAAAUUGAACUCGCUGUGAAGAUGCAGUGUACCCGCGGCAAGACGGAAAGACCCCGUGAACCUUUACUAUAGCUUGACACUGAACAUUGAGCCUUGAUGUGUAGGAUAGGUGGGAGGCUUUGAAGCGUGGACGCCAGUCUGCAUGGAGCCGGCCUUGAAAUACCACCCUUUAAUGUUUGAUGUUCUAACGUGGACCCGUGAUCCGGGUUGCGGACAGUGUCUGGUGGGUAGUUUGACUGGGGCGGUCUCCUCCUAAAGAGUAACGGAGGAGCACGAAGGUUGGCUAAUCCUGGUCGGACAUCAGGAGGUUAGUGCAAUGGCAUAAGCCAGCUUGACUGCGAGCGUGACGGCGCGAGCAGGUGCGAAAGCAGGUCAUAGUGAUCCGGUGGUUCUGAAUGGAAGGGCCAUCGCUCAACGGAUAAAAGGUACUCCGGGGAUAACAGGCUGAUACCGCCCAAGAGUUCAUAUCGACGGCGGUGUUUGGCACCUCGAUGUCGGCUCAUCACAUCCUGGGGCUGAAGUAGGUCCCAAGGGUAUGGCUGUUCGCCAUUUAAAGUGGUACGCGAGCUGGGUUUAGAACGUCGUGAGACAGUUCGGUCCCUAUCUGCCGUGGGCGCUGGAGAACUGAGGGGGGCUGCUCCUAGUACGAGAGGACCGGAGUGGACGCAUCACUGGUGUUCGGGUUGUCAUGCCAAUGGCACUGCCCGGUAGCUAAAUGCGGAAGAGAUAAGUGCUGAAAGCAUCUAAGCACGAAACUUGCCCCGAGAUGAGUUCUCCCUGAGACUUAGAGUCUCCUGAAGGAACGUUGAAGACGACGACGUUGAUAGGCCGGGUGUGUAAGCGCAGCGAUGCGUUGAGCUAACCGGUACUAAUGAACCGUGAGGCUUAACCUUACAACGCCGAAG